This 465-nucleotide ribosomal RNA is filed under the name uncultured bacterium. RNAcentral's name for it is "partial 16S ribosomal RNA". It matches the Rfam family "Bacterial small subunit ribosomal RNA", at positions 338 to 795 of the family's 1533-position model. The record is from RNAcentral.
CCUACGGGAGGCAGCAGUGGGGAAUAUUGCGCAAUGGGCGAAAGCCUGACGCAGCGACGCCGCGUGAGGGAUGAAGGUCUUCGGAUCGUAAACCUCUGUCAGCAGGGAAGAACGGUCACUGUGCUAAUCAGCAGUGAAUUGACGGUACCUGCAAAGGAAGCACCGGCUAACUCCGUGCCAGCAGCCGCGGUAAUACGGAGGGUGCGAGCGUUAAUUGGAAUUACUGGGCGUAAAGCGCUCGUAGGCGGUAUGUCAAGUCAAGGGUGAAAUCCCCGCGCUUAACGUGGGAACUGCCUUUGAAACCGGGAAACCUGAGUGUGUGAGAGGAUAGUGGAAGUCCAGGUGUAGGAGUGAAAUCCAUAGAUAUCUGGAGGAACAUCAGUGGCGAAGGCGACUAUCUGGCACAUAACUGACGCUGAGGAGCGAAAGCGUGGGUAGCAAACAGGAUUAGAUACCCUUGUAGUC